RNAcentral lists this unclassified non-coding RNA (256 nucleotides) under uncultured fungus. RNAcentral describes it as "partial contains 5.8S ribosomal RNA, internal transcribed spacer 2, and large subunit ribosomal RNA". Lineage: Eukaryota; Fungi. The record is from RNAcentral.
AACGCACAUUGCGCCCCUUGGUAUUCCGGGGGGCACGCCUGUCCGAGCGCCGUUUUCACCCCUCAAGCCCUGCUUGGUGUUGGGGCCCCGCCGCGGUAACACGCGGCGCGCCCUCGAAUGUAUCGGCGCGGCCACCGGCCUCCCAGACACCGCGUUGUCAGAGGAAGUCGGCGAGUCGCCGCCAGCGUUGCGAAAGCGCGCACAACCAAUUGUAAAACUUGGCCUCGGAUCAGGCGGGGAUACCCGCUGAACUUAA